GUCUCAGUAGCAUAGUGGUUAGUGCUCAGCCCCGGAAAGGUUGAGACGCGGGUUCGAUUCCUGCUUGAGAUG
This is a non-coding RNA of Nippostrongylus brasiliensis, 72 nucleotides long. NCBI's taxonomy places the organism in Eukaryota, Metazoa, Nematoda, Chromadorea, Rhabditida, Heligmosomidae. The record is from Rfam.